Camellia sinensis is the source of this 366-nucleotide non-coding RNA. The record is from RefSeq and is a predicted model, not a curated record. Lineage: Eukaryota; Viridiplantae; Streptophyta; Magnoliopsida; Ericales; Theaceae.
UUGUUUUUUGUUGUGAUAAGAUGUGAUUCUUCAUAUUGAUAAUGUUGCAGGGCUCAUGGAACUACUUCUGGGAUUGUACACUCCAUUGAUAUUCAUCCAUCAAGAAAACACACUUGUAUUGCAGGAGGCUCUUCUGGUACUGUAUUUGCAUGGGAUCUUCGGUGGCAACAGCAGCCAAUAGUUCUUUCUGGGGUUGCAGCAGGUGAGUUUCAGUCCCACUCAUUAUCUGAGAGUGAAAUUUGGGAGGUCCAGUAUGACAGCUAUUCUUUAAACUUGGUAACAUGUCAACAUCACGGGUGUUACCUGUUAUGAUCUGCUCAGAAGAUGAAAUCCUUGCUGUUGUUGAACAAGGUGAGGAACCCGUUG